RNAcentral lists this unclassified non-coding RNA (276 nucleotides) under Basidiomycota sp. RNAcentral's name for it is "partial contains small subunit ribosomal RNA and internal transcribed spacer 1". The stretch from base 1 to 47 matches the Rfam family "Eukaryotic small subunit ribosomal RNA", at positions 1785 to 1831 of the family's 1831-position model. The record is from RNAcentral. Lineage: Eukaryota; Fungi; Basidiomycota.
AAAGUCGUAACAAGGUUUCCGUAGGUGAACCUGCGGAAGGAUCAUUAACAAAAAUCCAUUCUCAAACCAAACCGUGCUCUCAUAGUACAAAAACCACCUUUUUCUUCUGUUGUUGGGUGUGCGCAAGUGCAUUCAGCAGCGUUAGAAAAACUAUUAUUUUAACCCCUAUCACAAACACCUUUGCAAAUUGCUUACUGACGUAUGUCUGCUCACUUCGGUGAAAAGAUAAAAUACGAAACGCUUGUACAAUUCUUAGCAAUGGAUGUCUCGGCUCUC